Molecule: ribosomal RNA, 2905 nt
Filed under: Serratia ureilytica
Lineage: Bacteria; Pseudomonadati; Pseudomonadota; Gammaproteobacteria; Enterobacterales; Yersiniaceae
Description: 23S ribosomal RNA
Rfam family: Bacterial large subunit ribosomal RNA
Source: RNAcentral
GGUUAAGUGACUAAGCGUACACGGUGGAUGCCUAGGCAGUCAGAGGCGAUGAAGGGCGUGCUAAUCUGCGAAAAGCGUCGGUAAGGUGAUAUGAACCGUUAUAACCGGCGAUACCCGAAUGGGGAAACCCAGUGUGUUUCGACACACUAUCAUGUCAUGAAUACAUAGUGGCAUGAGGCGAACCGGGGAACUGAAACAUCUAAGUACCCCGAGGAAAAGAAAUCAACCGAGAUUCCCCCAGUAGCGGCGAGCGAACGGGGAGAAGCCCAGAACCUGAAUCGGCUUGUGUGUUAGUGGAAGCGUCUGGAAAGUCGCGCAGUAAAGGGUGAUAGCCCCGUACACUAAAAUGCACAGGUCGUGAGUUCGAUGAGUAGGGCGGGACACGUGACAUCCUGUCUGAAUAUGGGGGACCAUCCUCCAAGGCUAAAUACUCCUGACUGACCGAUAGUGAACCAGUACCGUGAGGGAAAGGCGAAAAGAACCCCGGCGAGGGGAGUGAAAUAGAACCUGAAACCGUGUACGUACAAGCAGUGGGAGCACCUUCGUGGUGUGACUGCGUACCUUUGUAUAAUGGGUCAGCGACUUAUAUUUUGUAGCAAGGUUAACCGUAUAGGGGAGCCGUAGGGAAACCGAGUCUUAACUGGGCGAUUAGUUGCAAGGUAUAGACCCGAAACCCGGUGAUCUAGCCAUGGGCAGGUUGAAGGUUGGGUAACACUAACUGGAGGACCGAACCGACUAAUGUUGAAAAAUUAGCGGAUGACUUGUGGCUGGGGGUGAAAGGCCAAUCAAACCGGGAGAUAGCUGGUUCUCCCCGAAAGCUAUUUAGGUAGCGCCUCGUGAACUCAUCUUCGGGGGUAGAGCACUGUUUCGGCUAGGGGGCCAUCCCGGCUUACCAAACCGAUGCAAACUCCGAAUACCGAAGAAUGUUAUCACGGGAGACACACGGCGGGUGCUAACGUCCGUCGUGAAGAGGGAAACAACCCAGACCGCCAGCUAAGGUCCCAAAGUCAUGGUUAAGUGGGAAACGAUGUGGGAAGGCAUAGACAGCCAGGAUGUUGGCUUAGAAGCAGCCAUCAUUUAAAGAAAGCGUAAUAGCUCACUGGUCGAGUCGGCCUGCGCGGAAGAUGUAACGGGGCUAAACCAUGCACCGAAGCUGCGGCAGCGACGCUUAGGCGUUGUUGGGUAGGGGAGCGUUCUGUAAGCCGUUGAAGGUGGCCUGUGAGGGUUGCUGGAGGUAUCAGAAGUGCGAAUGCUGACAUAAGUAACGAUAAAGCGGGUGAAAAGCCCGCUCGCCGGAAGACCAAGGGUUCCUGUCCAACGUUAAUCGGGGCAGGGUGAGUCGACCCCUAAGGCGAGGCUGAAAAGCGUAGUCGAUGGGAAACAGGUUAAUAUUCCUGUACUUGGUGUUACUGCGAAGGGGGGACGGAGAAGGCUAGGCUGGCCGGGCGACGGUUGUCCCGGUUUAAGCGUGUAGGGGGUGUGACCUGGUAAAUCCGGUUGCAUAUUAACCCUGAGGCGUGAUGACGAUGCACUACGGUGCAGAAGUAGUUGAUGCCCUGCUUCCAGGAAAAUCCUCUAAGCUCCAGGUAACAUUAAAUCGUACCCCAAACCGACACAGGUGGUCAGGUAGAGAAUACCAAGGCGCUUGAGAGAACUCGGGUGAAGGAACUAGGCAAAAUGGUGCCGUAACUUCGGGAGAAGGCACGCUGGCAUGUAGGUGAAGUCCCUCGCGGAUGGAGCUGAAGCCAGUCGAAGAUACCAGCUGGCUGCAACUGUUUAAUAAAAACACAGCACUGUGCAAACACGAAAGUGGACGUAUACGGUGUGACGCCUGCCCGGUGCUGGAAGGUUAAUUGAUGGGGUCAGCCGCAAGGCGAAGCUCUUGAUCGAAGCCCCAGUAAACGGCGGCCGUAACUAUAACGGUCCUAAGGUAGCGAAAUUCCUUGUCGGGUAAGUUCCGACCUGCACGAAUGGCGUAAUGAUGGCCAGGCUGUCUCCACCCGAGACUCAGUGAAAUUGAACUCGCUGUGAAGAUGCAGUGUACCCGCGGCAAGACGGAAAGACCCCGUGAACCUUUACUAUAGCUUGACACUGAACAUUGAGCCUUGAUGUGUAGGAUAGGUGGGAGGCUUUGAAGCGUGGACGCCAGUCUGCGUGGAGCCAUCCUUGAAAUACCACCCUUUAAUGUUUGAUGUUCUAACUCGGCCCCGUGAUCCGGGGUGAGGACAGUGUCUGGUGGGUAGUUUGACUGGGGCGGUCUCCUCCCAAAGAGUAACGGAGGAGCACGAAGGUUAGCUAAUCACGGUCGGACAUCGUGAGGUUAGUGCAAAGGCAUAAGCUAGCUUGACUGCGAGAGUGACGGCUCGAGCAGGUACGAAAGUAGGUCUUAGUGAUCCGGUGGUUCUGAAUGGAAGGGCCAUCGCUCAACGGAUAAAAGGUACUCCGGGGAUAACAGGCUGAUACCGCCCAAGAGUUCAUAUCGACGGCGGUGUUUGGCACCUCGAUGUCGGCUCAUCACAUCCUGGGGCUGAAGUAGGUCCCAAGGGUAUGGCUGUUCGCCAUUUAAAGUGGUACGCGAGCUGGGUUUAGAACGUCGUGAGACAGUUCGGUCCCUAUCUGCCGUGGGCGUUGGAAGAUUGAGAGGGGUUGCUCCUAGUACGAGAGGACCGGAGUGAACGCACCACUGGUGUUCGGGUUGUCAUGCCAAUGGCAUUGCCCGGUAGCUAAGUGCGGAAAAGAUAAGCGCUGAAAGCAUCUAAGCGCGAAACUUGCCUCAAGAUGAGUCUUCCCUGGGCCUUCAAGGCCCCUGAAGGAACGUUUAAGACUAAGACGUUGAUAGGCUGGGUGUGUAAGUGCAGCGAUGCAUUGAGCUAACCAGUACUAAUGAUCCGUGAGGCUUAACCUU